CUGUAAUCCGGGCCUUCUGAUUCUUUUUAAUUAUUUGUAUUAAUUUUAAUUUUAUUUUAUUUUUAAAGAGAUGGAGUUUCGCUAUGUUGCCCAGGGUGGUCUGGAACUCUCAGGCUCAGGUGAUCCUCCUGCCUGGGUCUCCCAAAGGGCUGGGAUUUCAGGCGUGCGCCGCCAUGCCCUGCCGCAGGCUUUCCGAUUCUGAACCAUAGAGUCAAUGAAACUGUCCUCCAUCCCCUCCAGAGAUGUUUGCCUGGACCCUGUUUUCCUCAGGAUAUCAAUGAAUAGUUCAUGAGUUUAGUGAGCAAAGGUCAA
This 312-nucleotide long non-coding RNA is filed under the name Homo sapiens (human). RNAcentral describes it as "HSALNT0167492". Lineage: Eukaryota; Metazoa; Chordata; Mammalia; Primates; Hominidae. The record is from RNAcentral.